This 253-nucleotide ribosomal RNA is filed under the name uncultured bacterium. Its description in RNAcentral is "partial 16S ribosomal RNA". It matches the Rfam family "Bacterial small subunit ribosomal RNA", at positions 524 to 776 of the family's 1533-position model. The record is from RNAcentral.
UACAGAGGUCUCAAGCGUUGUUCGGAUUCAUUGGGCGUAAAGGGCGCGUAGGCGGCGCGGUAAGUCGGGUGUGAAAUCUUGGAGCUUAACUCCGAAACUGCAUUCGAUACUGCCGUGCUUGAGGACUGGAGAGGAGACUGGAAUUUACGGUGUAGCGGUGAAAUGCGUAGAUAUCGUAAGGAAGACCAGUGGCGAAGGCGGGUCUCUGGACAGUACCUGACGCUGAGGCACGAAGGUCAGGGGAGCAAACGGG